This is a long non-coding RNA of Camellia sinensis, 477 nucleotides long. RefSeq lists it as uncharacterized. Lineage: Eukaryota; Viridiplantae; Streptophyta; Magnoliopsida; Ericales; Theaceae. The record is from RefSeq and is a predicted model, not a curated record.
UCUCUUUUCUCAGCAGCAGCAGCCUUUCCUCUCACUCUCUCACUCACUACUCUUGUUGUUUUAUCUCUCUCUCUCUCUCUGUGGCAUCUGGUCGGUGAUUGGCAGGUGCGAUGACCUUCACAACACCUUCGACAACACCUGCAACACCUUCGGCAACACCUUCGGUCUUUCUCUAUAAAAAGAGCUAAGUUGGGAGGAGAAGGGAAGGGGGAGAGCAAGGCUCUAAAGCAAGAGGAAAGGAUAAAGAAAAAUAGAAACAAAGGGAAAGUGGGGGAGUUUAGUUUGUACAUAUUAGAGUGUGGUAGUUUCGGGAGUAUGCGAAACUAACUUCCUUGUCUUAGGGUUAAAAUGAAACCCUGAUUAAGUAAUAGUGGUGAGUUGUAUUUAGUAUUUUAAGUUUUGAUUUGAUUUGGAUAAAUUGUGUAAUUUUUAGAUUUUUUUGUACAAUAAAUGUUCUAUUCAAACUAUGUUAUACAA